Molecule: unclassified non-coding RNA, 378 nt
Filed under: plant metagenome
Description: partial contains 5.8S ribosomal RNA, internal transcribed spacer 2, and large subunit ribosomal RNA
Rfam family: 5.8S ribosomal RNA (bases 1-105)
Source: RNAcentral
GAAAUGCGAUAAGUAAUGUGAAUUGCAGAAUUCAGUGAAUCAUCGAAUCUUUGAACGCACCUUGUGCUCCUUGGUAUUCCUUGGAGCAUGCCUGUUUGAGUAUCAUGAAAUCUUCAAAGUAAAUCUUUUGUUAACUCAAUUGGUUUCUACUUUGGUAUUGGAGGUCUUUGCAGCUUCACACCUGCUCCUCUUUGUUCAUUAGCUGGAUCUCAGUGUUAUGCUUGGUUCCACUCGGCGUGAUAAGUUCUCUAUCGCUGAGGACACUGUAAAAGGUGGCCAAGGUAAAUGCAGAUGAACCGCUUCUAAUAGUCCAUUGACUUGGACAAUACUUUUAUGAUCUGAUCUCAAAUCAGGUAGGACUACCCGCUGAACUUAAGC